GCGCCGGCGAACACGAGCCCAGCACUGCCGGAAUUCCGCGCCGACGAACCACCCAGAACCUCCGGUUUUCGCGCCUCCCACCGCGAUGCCUCGCCACUGCCGCAGGACCCCACUGCCGGCCAAUCUCCCUCCCAUCCCCUGUUUUUGUGACUGCUCAACUGAGCAGAGAUUAAACGGAAAGGAUGUUACAGCCUCCCCCGACUCUCAAGGUUAUUAAGCAGGAAUCGAGGUAUGAGCAUAGCCAUUGCAAGAGCGUUGUUAAUAAGGAACAUGUUCAAGGGAAAGUGUGCGGUAUCUUGUGUUAGAGAAAUUAUUAUUAUUUGAGUCAAGUAUUUAUGUAUAAUUAUCAAGGACAAUUUAGGGUUGCAUUGUAUUAGUGGGCCAUAUCCCACAGGCUUAAAUUCCA
Molecule: long non-coding RNA, 406 nt
Organism: Beta vulgaris subsp. vulgaris (sugar beet)
Lineage: Eukaryota; Viridiplantae; Streptophyta; Magnoliopsida; Caryophyllales; Amaranthaceae
Exons: 3
Source: RefSeq, a predicted model, not a curated record